Non-coding RNA from Rhipicephalus microplus (southern cattle tick), 73 nucleotides. The record is from the annotation of a RefSeq genome assembly. NCBI's taxonomy places the organism in Eukaryota, Metazoa, Arthropoda, Arachnida, Ixodida, Ixodidae.
GUGCUUGUGGUGUAGUGGUAAUCGCAUCCGCCUAACACGCGGAAGGUCCCAGGAUCAAUCCCUGGCGGGCGCA